GGCGAACGGGUGAGUAACACGUGGGUGAUCUGCCUUGCACUUCGGGAUAAGCCUGGGAAACUGGGUCUAAUACCGGAUAGGACGAUGGUUUGGAUGCCAUUGUGGAAAGUUUUUCGGUGUGGGAUGAGCUCGCGGCCUAUCAGCUUGUUGGUGGGGUAAUGGCCUACCAAGGCGUCGACGGGUAGCCGGCCUGAGAGGGUGUACGGCCACAUUGGGACUGAGAUACGGCCCAG
RNAcentral lists this ribosomal RNA (233 nucleotides) under uncultured Actinomycetales bacterium. RNAcentral describes it as "partial 16S ribosomal RNA". It matches the Rfam family "Bacterial small subunit ribosomal RNA", at positions 97 to 334 of the family's 1533-position model. The record is from RNAcentral. Lineage: Bacteria; Bacillati; Actinomycetota; Actinomycetes; Actinomycetales.